Molecule: ribosomal RNA, 253 nt
Filed under: uncultured bacterium
Lineage: Bacteria
Description: partial 16S ribosomal RNA
Rfam family: Bacterial small subunit ribosomal RNA
Source: RNAcentral
UACGUAGGUGGCAAGCGUUGUUCGGAAUUAUUGGGCGUAAAGGGCGCGUAGGCGGUUUGUUAAGUCGGCUGUGAAAGCCCGGGGCUCAACCCCGGAGGGUCAGCCGAUACUGGCAGACUAGAGUACGGAAGAGGUAGCUGGAAUUCCCGGUGUAGCGGUGAAAUGCGUAGAGAUGUGGAGGAACACCAGUGGCGAAGGCGACUCUUUGGUCUGUAACUGACGCUGAGGCGCGAAAGCGUGGGGAGCAAACAGG